This 5988-nucleotide long non-coding RNA is filed under the name Sus scrofa (pig). RNAcentral's name for it is "lncRNA (ENSSSCG00055009749.1)". The record is from RNAcentral. Lineage: Eukaryota; Metazoa; Chordata; Mammalia; Artiodactyla; Suidae.
GGGAAGGAAUUCGUGAAGAAGCAAGAGUCUUAUAUGUAAGGAUGUUAAUACCAUGUGAUAAAAUAUAAUCUAAAAGAGAUUAAACAGGAGUUCUCACUGUGGUGCAGCAGAAAUGAAUCCGACUAGGAACCAUGAGGUUGCAAGUUCGAUCCCUGGCCUCGCCCAGUGGGUUGAGGAUCUGAUGUUCCUGUAAGCUGUAGUGUAGGUCACAGACAUGCUCGGAUCUGGCAUUGCUGUGGUUGUGGUGUAGGCUGGCAGCUGUAGCUCCAAUUAGACCCCUAGCCUUGGAAUAUCUCUAAGUGUGGCCCUAAAAAGACAAAGACAAAAAAUCAAACAAACAAAAGAUUAAACAGUGGAAACCAUCUUGUUAAUUUACUGUAUUUUUUAUGUUAUUAAAAGUCUGACUCUAUUAGGGAGAUGAAAUAAUUACCACCUUCAAAAUGUAGACAACAAAAAUGUUAGGGUCAAAUGCAGUAGUUAUGAAAUUCUGGACCUCAUUGAAUAACUGUUCUGUUCAUCAAUGGAAUCUGAGGUGGGUUAUAUGUUUUUGUUUCAUGUCUUAUUGACAGUUUCAUUUUGGUGAAAGUCAAGGCAAUCAGAGCAACCAGUUUUUACCUUGUUCUGAUGAAUAGAUUGUGAUUCAUGAAGUAAAAUAAUGGGGAACUUAAAAGAUUUGUGAAAGCAGGAUAAGACUAUAAGUGCAAUGUGAUGGGAAAAGAAGAUUAUGCAAAGACAAAUUUUUAAAUUCUCAAGAGUAAAGCGAUUUUUGUUUCUCAUGAUGUGUAUUUGAAAAAGAAACAAAUGAACACGACUUCAUACUUGCACAAUGACUCCUGAGACCUUCGAUUACAUCUUAAAGAGACUCAUGUGAUUAAGCUGAGGUCCUCUGUCUAUUACACAUUUCAAAAAUAUAUUUGCAAGUAUGAAUGAGCAACAGAAAAAUUUUAUCAGGAAUAAUAUAAUAGAGUCACAAGGAUAACUAAGCAUCCUUAAGAGGGUUAAAGCUAAAAGGCAGAUAAAGUUUGUCAUUCAAAAAAAAAAAAAAAACAAACAAAAAAAACUAUACACAAGAAAUUAUGAAUAACGUAAGAUGUGUUGGAAUGUGUACUGUUUAUGUUUCCUCUUCUGUAAGAAGAUUAAGCAAAUUAUGUAUUCCUACUCAGUGUGAUGUGAGUUACACUGCCUUCUUGUGAAAGGAAUAAAUUUCUCCUUCCCAGUGAGAGCAGGGCAGAGCGUGUCACUUCUUUGGCCAGUGGUAAGCAAUCAGAAGUGACAGUAUGGUGACUCUGAGUCGAAACUUUUAAGAGUCAUUACUUUUUCUCCGUCUCUCUUUUUAUUUUUCCUCUGGAAUGAAAAGAAUUUGUUACAUGUGCAGAGUGCUCUCUUUCAGUUUGGAUCCUGGAAUGAGGACAAUAGAAGAGAGCCAAACAGAGCUAAAGCUAACCUGCAGUAUGAGGAAGAUAGAAUCUCUGUUUUCAUAAAAUGUUGGCAUUAUUGAGUAGCUGUUAUCCAGUAAUAUCGUGUUCUUAUAUAACUAUAACUAUAUAUAUAUAUAUAAAUAAAACACAUAUAUAUGCCUUUUAUAAUUAUGUUUCAAAUAUAUAUAUACAGAUAUACACAAAUAAUAGAAAUGAAGAAAUCUGUAAAAUGCAACAUUGUCUUUUAUCUGUUUAUUACCACAAUCUUUAGAUUGAGAAAAAAUAGAUUAUAUGUCAAUAUGAAAACAAAUAGACCCUUGGAAAGGGAGGAGCUAUUUAGAGAACACAUAGCCAUUACUAUUUCCUAGUUUGGGAAGGAGACAGUCAUUUUUAAGUUCUGUGGUAAAAGAGAAAAACAAUAAUGGAAUCCAAAAAGCUAGCAUUAAAAAUAUUUUGACUGAUUUUGUUUUUUAAAGGAGGUGAGCUAUCCUUUAAUUAAAUAUGUUUUAUGUAAAGCAUAUCAUGGAUGUGUGUGAAUAUUUAGUAAAGAAAUAUGUAACAAAAAAAGAGAGAAGGAUAAAUUCAUAGAGAAUUAUUAAGUCAGACAGAGGACAGUUCUUUUGAGAUAGAGCUAUUCCAUCUGUUCUAUCUAAAUAAUAAACCUGCAAUGCCUCUGAAUUUCAAUAAAGCACAUGUUAAAAAUUUUAGGUGUGUAAAUAUACUAAAGUAAAAAUUUACUUGGACAAUUUAAGUGUAAAUUAUUUAAUGACUUCCUAACCACUGAGUCAUUUUACUCUAAAGCUGAGUGGUACAUUGGUAUAUUGUUAUUCAGAUUUUAGCACUGCCCUCACCAUCUCAGAGAGGCCUUCCAUAGUCAUCCAGUCUAAAAUUUCCUUCCUCAUUGCUGCGUUACACUGUUUACUUAUUUUCUUAGUUUUCUUUUUUAAAAUCAGCUUUAUUGAGUUAUAAUCUACAUAUCAUACAAUUUAUCCAUUUAAGCUCUACAACUCAGUUUUUAUUAGUAUAUUCGCAUAUUUGUGCAAUUCUCAACACAGCCAAUUUUAGAAUAUUUCAUUGCCUCCCAAAGAAACCCUGUUCUUUAGUUUUAAGUCCUCUUUCCUAUCAUCUGGGGGGAUAAAGAGAUAGCUUUAUUACUUCUUUUCCCAUCUAGAUGCAUUCUUUUUCUUGCCAAAUUUUCCUAGUUACAACUUCCAUUAAAUUCCAAUAAAUUGUUAAUAAUAAAAGUAGCAAGAGAAGACAUCCUUAUCAUUACUUUAGGAAAAAGGAUCUCUUUUCACUGUUAAGUAAUAAUGCUAUUUGUGAGUUUUUCAUAGAUACUCUUUAUCAAGUUGAGAAAGUUCCCUGCUAUUCCUAGUUUUAUUUAAUUUUUUGGAGUGUUUUUAUCAAGAAACAAUUUUGUUUUUGAUCAAAUGCUUUUUCUUGUAUCUAUUGAGGUAAUCAUGCUGAAUAAUAUGCCAUUGUAUAUACAUAUACAUUUAAGCUGUUUCCAUGUCUUGUCUAUUGUGAAUAGUACUGCAGUUAUCAUAACAGUGCAGAUAUCUCUUCAAGAUCAUGAUUUAAAUUUUUAAAUACCAAGAAGUAGGAUUGUUUGAUCAUAUGAUUGUUGUAUUUUUAAAUUUUUGUAGAAUUUCCAGGCUGUUUUCUAUAGGAGCUGCACCAUUUUCCAUUCCUACUUUCAAUGUACAGAUUAAUCUCUCCUACACCAGAUUAAUCUCUCACCAACACCUUUCUUUCUUUCUUUUUUUUUUUUUUUUUUCAUUGUAUUAUAGCUAUCCUGACAGGUAUGAAGUUAUAUCUGGUCAUGGCUUUAAUUGCAUUUCCUUGAGGAUUGGUGAUGUUGAACAUCUUUUGCAUGUGUUCCUUGGUGUGAUAUCUGUUCAAGUCCAUAGCCCAUUUUUAAUUGGGUUUUGUGGUUUUUGUUUUUUAUUAAGUGUUUGAGUUCCUUAUAUAUUUUGGAUAAUAACCCCUUAUCAAAUACAUGAUAUGUAAAUAUUUUCUCCCAUUCCAUAUAUUGACUUUUCAUUAUGUUGACUGUAGAAGCUUUUCAGUGUGAUGUAAUCUUACUUGACUAUUUUUGCUUGUAUUUCUUGGGCCUUUGGUAUCAUUUCCAAGGAAUGACUGCCGAGAAAAAUAUCCUUAAAUUUUCCCCCUUUGUUUUCUUCUUAGAAUUUUACAGGGCUAGGUCUUAUAAUUAAAUUUUAAUCCAUUUUUUUAGGGUUUGUGUGUGUUUGUGUGUGUGUGUGUGUGUGUGUGUAUGUGUGGCACAAGGGUCCCAUUUCAACUUUUCACAUGUGGAUAUUCAGUUUUCCCUGCACUGUUUCUUAAGAGACUAUUCCUUCUCCACUGUGUAUUCUUAAUACUUUUGUUGAACAUCAGGUGGACUGUAUGUGUUUGAGUUUAAUUCUGGGUUUUUGAUUCUGUUACAUUGGUCUAUACGUCUGCCUUUAUGCCAGUACUAUACUGUUUUUAUUGCUAUGACUUUGUAAUGCAUUUUGAAAUCAGAAAAUGUGAUGCUUCCUGCUUCGUUCUUCUUUCUCAAGAUUGCUUUGGCUAUUUGGGAUCUUUUGUGAUUCCGUGUAGCAUUUAGGAUUAUUUCCUCUACUUCUGUAAUGUUCAUGUAUUUAUUCUGGCCUUUUCAUUUCAGUACUUAGCUAUAAUACUUAGUGAUCUUGAUUGUCUUCUUUAGCAUUUUCAUCCUAGUACAGUGCUAGGAAAAUAGUGGGUUUCUCAAAAGUACUUAUCGAAUAGAAGGAAGGGAAACAAAACAGGGAAGAAGGAAGAGAGAGACGGGAUCAAUAUAUAGAAAGUCUCUGGCUAGCCUCACUGGUGAAGAUGAUGAAAAUAAUGAUGAACACAAUGGUGAAAAAAGCAACCAACAGUGGUUAUUAAAUCAACAGUGGAAAAUGUUUAGGACCCUUGAGAAGAACUAAAGAUGGUUAUAAAUUCUAGAAUGCCAAAUCCUAACUUUAUCAAUCAUUUAACAAAUGGUAUUCUGAUUCAUUCACAUCAUUGGUAUAAUUAAUACUUAUUGAACAUAGUGUAUGUGCCAGGUACAGUGAUACAGAGGUAAAAUUAUAUGUUAAUUGCACUUAGGAGCUUUAGAAAAUCAGCCUCUUCCAUUCUGGGGGAAGAAAUUGGGACGGCUAGAGCCCAGUAACUGAAUAAAAAUAAGUUUAAAUAUCGAAGAUGUGUUUCUAAAGAAAAAACUGAAUGAUGUGACAAUUGUUUAUUUAGACUAAGAUUCAAAGCAUCAUCUGUUUUUCUCUAAAGCGUUUGUUAAUCAUUAAAAUAAAUUUAUAUUCUUUUAAACACUAAAGGUGUAGAUACCCUACAACAUUUUCAUUUUCUUAAAAAUAGCAUUUAAUAAGUUUGUACUAAGCUAAUUAGCCCAUACUCUAAAUUACUCAGUGUACUGCAUUUGUGGCCUGCUAUGUCUAAUAGCAAAUAUUAUUUUAAUCACUACUAUGAUAAUAAUGUUUUGACUGGAGUAUGCUAUGAAAGUUAAAAAAAUAUGUUUAAAUUUGUUCUAAAAAUCACGUUUGCUAAUUUUCUUAUUCAAAACAUCCCAUUAUGCUCUAAGAAUCAAAUGAGUGUUCUACAUGUACUAUUUGGUGUUUAAUGCAUUUUUACUUUUACUUAAUUCCAAAUACAUGAAUACCCCCAGGUAUCACUAACCUAGUGUAACAAAAAUGUAGGUUUUUCUAUAUUUCAAAUAAUAAAUGGUUACGUAAGGCAAAACAACUUCAGAGCUUAUUGUUUGUAUUUUAGAGCCAGCUCUAAAUGGAAUAGCGAGCACACAUGCAAAAAAAAAAGCAAAACUCACAAUGAGUAUAAACAUAACCUAUUUAGAAUAAAUACUUCAAUCUAAGACAUAGGUGCUUUGUCAAUGGCUUUAAUUGGAAGAAAGGAGGUUUGCAACCACUCAAAGUAAAAUAUGAUGGCUCGUGUCAGAGUGUUAUGAAACAUAUUCUUCUUAAGGGCAGAGGGGGGAAAGGAAUGAAAAACAUGAUGGACCUUGAAUAACAGCUCAACAGUAAUGCUGUAUAAUUGCUUUUCAUCCUUUCUAUCAGCAGUGAAGCUUUAAAACAUUGAUCAAAGAUGAUGACUAUCACAAAGUGCUUAGAGUGCAGCACAUUGUUAAAUUUCCUGAGCUUCUGAAAUAAUUAUAGCAUGAGCAAGCAUAAAGAUGAUUCUCCCACCUUCACCCGCCUUCCUCAAAUGAUUUUCUAGCCAAAGUAGAGGGGAUUAAAAGAAAUCUGACAUGAAUGAGCUACAUUAGAACAUCAAUGUCAAAAGAUAUCACGGGCACCUGCCUCAAAAGGAUGAAAAUACCGUGAAUAAUUUCACAUUAUUUCACACCAGAAUUCGGUCACCCUCCUUGCUGACAAACAAGUUGCUCAAGUAAAGGACACAGAGCAUACCCAGUGGAUAAGAAAGUACAACACAGAAAUUAGAAAUGCUCCCUGAUGAUGUCAAAAAGAUAGCUCUUGUCUGCUAAGACUAUACAGCUAAAGAAAUGAUGGAGACAAAAAAAAAAAAAAAAAAAAAA